CCUACAUACCUCUGGUUUGCUCUUUCAGACCCACAAAGGCAACAAGAAAGAAGUUGCUACAUUAACUGUUUCUCUGGGAUUUGAACUAGGGGGUACAUACCUCAAGUUAGCUCUUUCAUGCCAACAAAGGUCAACGUCAAAAAUGGCUCUCUUCAGAUUUGAACUCUCAAACUCUGGUUUGGGGAGCAAACGCCAUAACCACUACUCUACCACAGAGACAGACACUAGAUGUUAAGGGGUACUUCAAAAUGCACACAUCAAAGACAACAUUUCAGAGGUUAGAGAAUGGUGUGGGGGCUUGUACUUCUUGGGUCCACCAACUGUUCCUCAAUCUUCUUUUGAUGACUACAAACAGAGAUUAUGAAUCUUCAAAACCUACACUAUAGGAUGGAUGUGUUUAGGAACAGGGGAUGAAAUUCGAAAGAGGCGUAUUUCCAAUUACCAACAAAUAGACCCUAGAAAUGUUAUUCCAAAAUCUUAAUAUUGGAACUUUGGCCCUUCAUUUGCCUACUACUGCCUAUAAGCUAUCCUAACACGUGGGUUUUUUCUUGGGGACAAGGUAUCGGAACGCUUUUGAAUGGUCUACAAAGCAUGCCCCCAGGUCAAAGUUGGCUUUUGCAGACAAGGAUAAUAUAUUGUUACUCCACGGCAUAGUAUGUUAUCACAACUCUAUUAAAAGGACAUUCUAUACAAGGUGUCACUUCAGUCCUUCUAUUUGAUGGGAACUACCCCUACCCCUCAACAAACCUCAAGUUAGCUCUUUCAUGCCAACAAAAGUCAACGUCAAAAAUGGCUCUCUUCAGAUUUGAACUCUCAAACUCUGGUUUGGGGAGCAAACGCCAUAACCACUACUCUACCACAGAGACAGACACUAGAUGUUAAGGGGUACUUCAGAAUGCACACAUCAAAUACAACAUUUCAGAGGUUAGAGAAUGGUGUGGGGGCUUGUACUUCUUGGGUCCACCAACCGUUCCUCAAUCUUCUUUUGAUGACUACAAACAGAGAUUAUGAAUCUUCAAAACCUACACUAUAGGAUGGAUGUGUUUAGGAACAGGGGACGAAAUUCGAAAGAGGCGUAUUUCCAAUUACCAACAAAUAGACCCUAGAAAUGUUAUUCCAAAAUCUUAAUAUUGGAACUUUGGCCCUUCAUUUGCCUACUACUGCCUAUAAGCUAUCAUAACACGUGGGUUUUUUCUUGGGGACAAGGUAUCGGAACGCUUUUGAAUGGUCUACAAAGCAUGCCCCCAGGUCAAAGUUGGCUUUUGCAGACAAGGAUAAUAUAUUGUUACUCCACGGCAUAGUAUGUUAUCACAACUCUAUUAAAAGGACAUUCUAUACAAGGUGUCACUUCCGUCCUUCUAUUUGAUGGGAACUACCCCUACCCCCCAACAAACCUCAAGUUAGCUCUUUCAUGCCAACAAAAGGCAACAUCAGAAAUGUUUCUCUAAAAAAAAUCUCUCCUCAGAUUUGAACUCUCAAACUCUGGUUUGGGGAGCAAACACCAUAACCACUACUCUACUAGACAUGCUAUAACCACUUCUUUUCACAUGCUAUAACCUAACAACCUUAUUCUAAAAUCGAUUACCUUAAUAUUUUCCCUCAAUCUACACACAUUACCCUAUGAUCACAAAGUGAAUAUUGGGUUUAUACAUUUUAGCAAAUUAUUUACAAAUUAAAAAACAGAAAUACCUUAUUUACAUAAUGAUUCUUCCCCUUUGCAAUGAGUCUCAAAUUGAGCUCAGGUGCAUCCUGUUUCCAUUGAUCAUCCUAGAGCUGUUUCUACAACUUCAUUGGAGUACAGCUAUGGUAAAUGCAAUUGAUUUGACAUGAUUUGGAAAGGCACACACCUGUCUAUAUAAGGUCCCACAGUUGACAGUGCAUGCCAGGGCAAAAACCAAGCCAAAUCAAAUCAAAUUUUAUUUGUCACAUGCGGCAAAUACAACAGCUGUGGACCUUACCGUGAAGGUCUUACUUACAAGCCCAAACCCAACAAUGCAGGUCAAGAAAUAGAGUUAAGAAAUUGUUUCCUAAGUAAACUAAAGUCAAAAAAAUGUAUAAAUCCAUAAGUAACACAAGACAAUUACAUAACAAUAACGAGGCUAUAUAAAUGGGGUACCGGUACCGAGUCAAUGUGCGGGGGUACAGGUUAGUUGAGGUCAUUUGUAAAGUGACUUUGCAGUUAUAAUUAACAGUGAGUAGCAGCAGUGUAAAAACACUGGGGGGGUGGGGGGCUCUUUGACUAUUUUUUGGCCCUUCCUGUGACAACGCUUAAUAUAUAGGUCCUUGAUGUCAGGAAGCUUUGCCCCAGUGAUGUACUGGGCCGUACGCAUUAUGGCCAGAUGCCCAGCAGUUGCCGUACCAGGCAACCUCUCAGGAUGCUCUCGAUGGUGCAGCUGUAGAACUUUUUGAGGAUCUGGGGAUCCAUGCUAAAUAUUGUCAGUCUCCUGAGGGGGAAAGGUUUUGUCGUGCCCUCUUCACAACUGUGUUGGUGUGUUUCG
Molecule: long non-coding RNA, 2498 nt
Filed under: Oncorhynchus mykiss (rainbow trout)
Lineage: Eukaryota; Metazoa; Chordata; Actinopteri; Salmoniformes; Salmonidae
Description: lncRNA (ENSOMYG00000073505.1)
Source: RNAcentral